Molecule: ribosomal RNA, 505 nt
Filed under: uncultured Staphylococcus sp.
Lineage: Bacteria; Bacillati; Bacillota; Bacilli; Caryophanales; Staphylococcaceae
Description: partial 16S ribosomal RNA
Source: RNAcentral
CACGUAGUUAGCCGUGGCUUUCUGAUUAGGUACCGUCAAGACGUGCAUAGUUACUUACACAUUUGUUCUUCCCUAAUAACAGAGUUUUACGAUCCGAAGACCUUCAUCACUCACGCGGCGUUGCUCCGUCAGGCUUUCGCCCAUUGCGGAAGAUUCCCUACUGCUGCCUCCCGUAGGAGUCUGGACCGUGUCUCAGUUCCAGUGUGGCCGAUCACCCUCUCAGGUCGGCUACGCAUCGUUGCCUUGGUAAGCCGUUACCUUACCAACUAGCUAAUGCGGCGCGGAUCCAUCUAUAAGUGACAGCAAAACCGUCUUUCACUAUUGAACCAUGCGGUUCAAUAUAUUAUCCGGUAUUAGCUCCGGUUUCCCGAAGUUAUCCCAGUCUUAUAGGUAGGUUAUCCACGUGUUACUCACCCGUCCGCCGCUAACGUCAGAGGAGCAAGCUCCUCGUCUGUUCGCUCGACUUGCAUGUAUUAGGCACGCCGCCAGCGUUCAUCCUGAGCCA